CACAAAAAUGCACAUACUGUGAGCUCGAUGAGUAGGGCGGGACACGUGGUAUCCUGUCUGAAUAUGGGGGGACCAUCCUCCAAGGCUAAAUACUCCUGACUGACCGAUAGUGAACCAGUACCGUGAGGGAAAGGCGAAAAGAACCCCGGCGAGGGGAGUGAAAAAGAACCUGAAACCGUGUACGUACAAGCAGUGGGAGCACAGAGCAAUCUGUGUGACUGCGUACCUUUUGUAUAAUGGGUCAGCGACUUAUAUUCUGUAGCAAGGUUAACCGAAUAGGGGAGCCGAAGGGAAACCGAGUCUUAACUGGGCGUUAAGUUGCAGGGUAUAGACCCGAAACCCGGUGAUCUAGCCAUGGGCAGGUUGAAGGUUGGGUAACACUAACUGGAGGACCGAACCGACUAAUGUUGAAAAAUUAGCGGAUGACUUGUGGCUGGGGGUGAAAGGCCAAUCAAACCGGGAGAUAGCUGGUUCUCCCCGAAAGCUAUUUAGGUAGCGCCUCGUGAAUUCAUCUCCGGGGGUAGAGCACUGUUUCGGCAAGGGGGUCAUCCCGACUUACCAACCCGAUGCAAACUGCGAAUACCGGAGAAUGUUAUCACGGGAGACACACGGCGGGUGCUAACGUCCGUCGUGAAGAGGGAAACAACCCAGACCGCCAGCUAAGGUCCCAAAGUCAUGGUUAAGUGGGAAACGAUGUGGGAAGGCCCAGACAGCCAGGA
This 719-nucleotide ribosomal RNA is filed under the name Escherichia coli. Its description in RNAcentral is "partial 23S ribosomal RNA". It matches the Rfam family "Bacterial large subunit ribosomal RNA", at positions 378 to 1098 of the family's 2925-position model. The record is from RNAcentral. Lineage: Bacteria; Pseudomonadati; Pseudomonadota; Gammaproteobacteria; Enterobacterales; Enterobacteriaceae.